UAGGGAAUCUUCCACAAUGGACGCAAGUCUGAUGGAGCAACGCCGCGUGAGUGAAGAAGGUUUUCGGAUCGUAAAGCUCUGUUGUUGGUGAAGAAGGAUAGAGGCAGUAACUGGUCUUUAUUUGACGGUAAUCAACCAGAAAGUCACGGCUAACUACGUGCCAGCAGCCGCGGUAAUACGUAGGUGGCAAGCGUUGUCCGGAUUUAUUGGGCGUAAAGCGAGCGCAGGCGGAAUGAUAAGUCUGAUGUGAAAGCCCACGGCUCAACCGUGGAACUGCAGCGGAAACUGUCAUUCUUGAGUGCAGGAGAGGAGAGUGGAAUUCCAUGUGUAGCGGUGGAAUGCGUAGAUAUAUGGAAGAAAACCAGUGGCGAAGGCGGCUCUCUGGUCUGCAACUGAAGCUGAGGCUCGAAAGCAUGGGUAGCGAACAGG
RNAcentral lists this ribosomal RNA (429 nucleotides) under bacterium. Its description in RNAcentral is "partial 16S ribosomal RNA". It matches the Rfam family "Bacterial small subunit ribosomal RNA", at positions 355 to 776 of the family's 1533-position model. The record is from RNAcentral.